GCUUUUAAAUGGAAAACAGUCUUCCACUGGACUUAGGAUCCAGCCUCUCUUGGUGCAAAUCCAAGUUAAAGCU
RNAcentral lists this transfer RNA (73 nucleotides) under Cornufer vitiensis (Fiji tree frog). RNAcentral's name for it is "Platymantis vitiensis (Fiji tree frog) tRNA-Leu". Lineage: Eukaryota; Metazoa; Chordata; Amphibia; Anura; Ceratobatrachidae. The record is from RNAcentral.